UUUUCGUUUCUGUCACGAACUAGCGACUGUACUUUCGAUAGAAUGAGUCACGACCUAAAUACUUUAGACGGCAAAACGGCGACCAUAUGGACUUGUUUGUAGUGAUGCUUUGAGAAAUCUAAAAUGAAGAACGUAUUCCUGUCUGCGUCUUCCGGAGUUUCAUCCAUUUCCGUCUCAUAACCUUGUAGCUAACGGUUUAGCUAUUCUGGGUGCCAUAUGUCCGGGUUUCUCCGGAUUUGUCUUAGUUUUGAGGUCGGCUUGGUGUGACUUUUGUACAACCGUCCAGAGUAAAGCCGGACCUUUUUUUGGGCCUGCAGAAUUCGACUGACUGGAGGUGCUGUGGCUGAAUCUGUUGCUGCGUCAUGGGAAACAAUGGCAUCUGCAGUCGAAAUUCGGCCACUUCGCCAUUUACACGAACAAGCAGGCAACCCGUUUCGCUGUGGGGGCUCUGUUUCUGCUGCAAGUCACUGUGGAGCCAUGGACAACACAACUUA
Long non-coding RNA from Schistocerca serialis cubense, 494 nucleotides. RefSeq lists it as uncharacterized. Lineage: Eukaryota; Metazoa; Arthropoda; Insecta; Orthoptera; Acrididae. The record is from RefSeq and is a predicted model, not a curated record. The transcript is spliced from 3 exons.